GGAGGAGGCAUCCAAAGGGAUCGCAUUGAUCCUAAAUCUCAGAUUUCAAAAAUUUUCUCUCUCAAUUUUGGGAUCAUGCUAUCCCUUUGGAUUCCUCCUU
This is a non-coding RNA of Cajanus cajan (pigeon pea), 100 nucleotides long. The record is from Rfam. Lineage: Eukaryota; Viridiplantae; Streptophyta; Magnoliopsida; Fabales; Fabaceae.